RNAcentral lists this long non-coding RNA (711 nucleotides) under Arabidopsis lyrata. RNAcentral's name for it is "long non-coding RNA (ALYR_LNC001464)". Lineage: Eukaryota; Viridiplantae; Streptophyta; Magnoliopsida; Brassicales; Brassicaceae. The record is from RNAcentral.
GGUAGAAUCCCUGUAAGUCCUCAACUAGACAGAUUGAACAAUCCAAACAUUUACGCGAACAACAGCGGAAUCUGUGGAAUGCAAAUCCAAGUACCAUGCUCUCCUACACAGACCAAGCAGCCAGCUGAGGAAAAAGAAGAAGAAGAAGAAGAAGACAAAGAAGAGGAAACAAUGUUUUCAUGGAAAGCUGCAGUCAUAGGUUGUUCUUGUGGAUUUCUUAUAGCAGUUGUAUUCAUGUCAUACAAUGGGAUAUGGAAGUAACAAUCCCAAAAUGUACUCCUAAAAAUAAUUUAAAAUAAAAUUUUCUUUUUAAGUUCAUCAUUCCACAUUACCAAUUGAAAAUUUAUUUAUGAUGAUUACAAAUAUAACAUGUCGUUAUUUUGAUAAAAGGAACAGAUCAUCACUCUCUAACAGAACCAGAGCAAUCGAAACGGAGCACAUGGCAAAAUCUACCAGGAAACUACUAAUAUUCCGACUAAAGGAAGACGAGAGCCAUUGCGAUGGAAGCUGAAACACUUACGACAUGAAUCUGCUACAAGGCGGAGUACAACACCACCGUGAAAUCCACCCUAAAUCAUCACCCACCAACGACGGCGACCGCUACUAACACAGGAGACGCCAUGGGCCUUCUCACAAAAUAUUAAAAUUAACCCCAAAUCCGAUAACCGAUCCGAAUAAUCCGAUUUCGAAACCGAACCGAAUAGUUACAAA